Molecule: ribosomal RNA, 450 nt
Filed under: uncultured Glomeromycotina
Lineage: Eukaryota; Fungi; Glomeromycota
Description: SSU rRNA
Rfam family: Eukaryotic small subunit ribosomal RNA
Source: RNAcentral
AGCAGCCGCGGUAAUUCCAGCUCCAAUAGCGUAUAUUAAAGUUGUUGCAGUUAAAAAGCUCGUAGUUGAAUUUCGGGAUCAAUACGUCGGUCGUGCUUCGGUACGUACUGGCGUCAUUGAUUUCUCCCUUCUGACGAACCAUGAUGUCAUUAACUUGGUGUCAUGGGAAAUCAGGACUGUUACUUUGAAAAAAUUAGAGUGUUUAAAGCAGGCUCACGCUUGAAUACAUUAGCAUGGAAUAAUGAAAUAGGACGUUUGAUCCUAUUUUGUUGGUUUCUAGGAUUGACGUAAUGAUUAAUAGGGAUAGUUGGGGGCAUUAGUAUUCAAUUGUCAGAGGUGAAAUUCUUGGAUUUAUUGAAGACUAACUACUGCGAAAGCAUUUGCCAAGGAUGUUUUCAUUAAUCAAGAACGAAAGUUAGGGGAUCGAAGACGAUCAGAUACCGUCGUAGU